Long non-coding RNA from Anolis carolinensis (green anole), 2319 nucleotides. The record is from Ensembl. Lineage: Eukaryota; Metazoa; Chordata; Lepidosauria; Squamata; Anolidae.
CAUAUAAGGGACUUCCAUUGGAGAGAAAGUGGAGUAGGCAGAAUUGUGGCUAUGAAAGAAGAGAGUCACAGCCAGGUAGGACUCUAUCUUGGCCAGGCCCACCUGCUCUACAGAAGAGCAGCAGUUAGGCACACAUUCAUCUUACCUGGGUCCAGGUAGUGCAAAGAGUCAGUGUUGUCCACUAUUAAUUGUAACAGCAAUUCCUGCCAUUCAUAUCGGGUUGGAGGAAGUGGAGAUUAUAUAUAUAUAUAUAUAUAUAUAUACACACACACACACACACACACAUACACACACACACAUAUACAUACACAUACACAUACAUGCACACGCACACGCACAUACAUACAUACACUAGCUGUGCCCAGCCACACGUUGCUGUGGCGAAGUAUGGUGGUAUGGGAAAUAAAGUAUUGAGGAACUGGUGGUAAUUAAGGUAUAGGGUAAAGGUUUUCUCCUGACAUUAAGUCCAGUUGUGUCCAACUGCACACUGAAGUGGAUUAUAUGGCAGUGUGGAGUCAAGAUAAUUCAGUUCAAAGCAGAUAAUCUAUAUAUAUAAAAGGAUAAAGUUGCGGGCGCAGUGACUAUAACAACAAAACUAAACAUCCCAGAAAUACGAAAUUUGGCAACACAAUGCAAAAUCCUUGCCUCCCGGUUACAACAACACAACCACACCACAAAGCCACAAUCCGGACCCACAAAACUCACAACAACACUUCAUGACUAUAACAACACAACUAAACGCCUCAGAAAUACAAAACUUGGCAACACAAUGCAAAAGCCUUGCCUCCCAGUUGUAACAACACAACCACACCACAAAACCACACAGGACCCACAAAACUCACAACAACGCAUCGUGACUAUAACAACACAAUGCAAAAGCCUUCCCUCCAGGUUGUAACAACACAACCACACCACAAAACCACAAUCCGGAGCCAUAAAACUCACAACAAGGCAUCGUGACUAUAACAACACAACUAAACAACAACACAUCAUGACUAUAACAACACAACUAAACGCCCCACAAAUACGAAACUUGGCAACACAACACAAAAGCAUUCCCUCCCGAUUGUAACAACACAACCACACCACAAAACCAUAAUCCGGACCCACAAAACUCACAACAGUGCAUCGUGACUAUAACAACACAACUAAACGCCCCAGAAAUACAAAACUUGGCACACAACUAAACGACCCAGAAAUACAAAACUUCGCAACACAACACAAAAGCCUUGCCUCUCAGUUGUAACAACACAACCACACCACAAAACCACAAUCCAGACCCACAAAACUCACAACAACGCAUUGUCACUAUAACAAAUACAACAUUUGACAACACAACUCAUCCACCUCCCCAAUCCCUACAUUCACACUUGGCCUCCAAAAAAACAAUUACAAUAAUAACAAUGACAACAACGACAACAAUAAGAAUCAACACCAUCACAGGCAAGAAACAGCCAGGCACUGAGGCUGAGAGGCCAGUCAGUACUACACUGGGCCUCCAAAAAACAAUACAGUAGCAUCUAACUUAUCCAGCCUUCAUAAUCACUACAACAACAAUAAUAAUAAACACCUACACAGGCAAAACAAAAAAAAGACUAUUGUACCGCAAUAAAAAUAUAAACCGCACUCAGCAGAAUCAGACAUUACGAUUAACAACAAACCAAAGACAACAGGGAUCUCAAGCAAUUAUCAAUCAACACAAAAAUUGAAAAAAGUAACAGACUUCAAAUACUACUACUAAUGUGAGUAUGAAGAAGGGUGGAGGUCACAGCAUCAAUACAACCUAAUGUAGACUGACCAACACCACCAGACUAAGCCACAGCAACGCGUGGCCGGGCACAGCUAGUAAGAUUAUAAAUGGGUUAUAUAGCUGUGUGGAAGGGCCUUGAGUCUACACUGCCAUAUAAUCCAGUUAAAAUAAGAUAAUCUGUAUUUUAUAGGCAGUGUGGAAGAGGCCUAACUGAGGCCUAACUCUGCCUGUCCCCUGGGCUGAGUGGGUUGCUAGGAGACCAAGUGGGUGGAGCUUAGUCUUUGAACUGGCAGCAAUUGGAUAAAAACAAUUAUUCCUCUCCUUCUAAUUAGGACUUUAUUUUUCUUUUUUUGUUGUUGUAUGAACGUAGAGGCAUGGAUGAGGGGUUGUGCUGCCAAGUUUAGUGUUUCUGGGAUGUGUAGUUUUGUUGUUUUGUCCUAGGCCAAAAUUUCAUUACCCUUUUAUACACACACACACACACACUGGGUUGAACCGCCAGCUACAGAAGAUCUUGGUGACCGGAAGGUUGGCAGUUCAAACCGUGGAUUGGGGGUGAACUGCAGCUGUCA